This is a long non-coding RNA of Salvia miltiorrhiza (redroot sage), 1220 nucleotides long. RefSeq lists it as uncharacterized. The transcript has 3 exons. The record is from RefSeq and is a predicted model, not a curated record. Lineage: Eukaryota; Viridiplantae; Streptophyta; Magnoliopsida; Lamiales; Lamiaceae.
AAUGAUAAAAACCACAGAGACAGGGAUGUGAAUAGUUAACUACUGGAUCAGAAUAAAAUGAUUCGCAUCUGCGACAAACUAAUUGGGGUCUUUUAUGGUUGAUAAGCCUGCACCAACUUAUUGAAGAAGAUUAUUAAUUUUUAGCAAGGAAUGGGACAAUAUUCGACCCCACUUCUACACGAGAUGUCAGGACCGAGCAGAUAGUGAGAGUGAUCCUGGAAUGAAGCAUAAGCUACUUCGGCUUGCAAGGAAGCUGAAAGAGGAGGAGUUUUUUUCUCUCAGGAAAUUUGUGUUUUUAGGGAAAGGAAGGAGAAAAUGAAGAGGAUGAACCCGAAGAGGAAGAAAAUGUAGAAGAAGAACUCAGCAAUGACGAAAUAGGUGCUCUUCAAUGAACAUUGCCGGCGGAAGGCAUUAUCGGUCCAACGAAGCUGCCUUAGUUCUCACUGUUGCUGGUGUUUUUAAGUUUGCAGAUUGAGGAAGAAAUGGUCAGAGUGAGAGAGGAGAGAGUUAUGCUGGAUGGAGUCGGUUCUUGAAGUUGCUAAGUCAAGUUUCAAGCAACGUGUUAUUCCAAUAGCUAAUCUGAGUGCUACGUGUUCUUCUUUGUUGGAGUUGAUUUAUCUAACUCCAUAAAUAUCUCACUUGUUAGUUUGUUUGUUUUGCCUUUCUACACGUGUGUUUGUUUGUAGGUGUUUUUUACCUAGUCAAGACUUUGAGAUUUGAAGCUGCAAACAAGGUAGUAAGGAGGAGAGUUUCGGUUGCCAAAAAGAAGGAAGUGGAGAGAAGGAGAGAGAGAAAAGAGGAGCUUGCUGGCAGCUCCUAAAAUCAAGGGAGAAGUGGACCAAAUCCAACAACUAUCAAACGUCCACUUCAUCUAUGAUCAAAGCCACGACUUCAAGCCUUGGGAAGCAAGAUUGAGAAGCCUAUAUAUACCAAGGAGAAGUCUCAGUUCAGAUCACGAACUCAGAGAGAAGAAAUCAAGCUUUAGAGUGAUCUGUGUUGGAGUGAUGUUUCUUGUGUUAGGACAACAUUAGCUAUAGCAUUCUUUGUUUUGUUGGAUUUCGGAGUAUAGCUCUUGAAUCCAGUUUGUUAGUGAGAGUGUCUAGAGUUUAAUACCUAGUUCAUUGUAAAGGUAUUAAACGUGUGUGUCAUUCUCCCUUUAGUCAUUUUGCCAUAAGGCGUUCUUCAAGUUAUUUUAUAACUUGAAGAAUUUUUACCAAAAA